Molecule: ribosomal RNA, 456 nt
Filed under: uncultured organism
Description: partial 16S ribosomal RNA
Rfam family: Bacterial small subunit ribosomal RNA
Source: RNAcentral
CGUACACUCCUGCGGGAGGCAGCAGUGGGGAAUUUUACGCAAUGGGGGAAACCCUGACGUAGCGACACCGCGUGAGCGAAGAAGCCCUUUGGGGUGUAAAGCUCUGUCAGCUGGAACGAAAACAAUGACGGUACCAGCAGAGGAAGCAUCGGCUAACUACGUGCCAGCAGCCGCGGUAAGACGUAGGAUGCGAGCGUUGUCCGGAUUUAUUGGGCGUAAAGAGUUCGUAGGUGGUUUGUUAAGUUUGGUGUUAAAGAUCGGGGCUCAACCCUGGACUGCACUGAAUACUGGCAGACUCGAGUGUGGUAGAGGCUAGUGGAAUUCCCAGUGUAGCGGUGAAAUGCGUAGAUAUUGGGAAGAACACCGGUGGCGUAGGCGACUAGCUGGGCCAUAACUGACGCUGAGGAACGAAAGCCAGGGGAGCGAAUGGGAUUAGAAACCCCUGUAGUCCCAUGA